UACGAAGGGUGCAAGCGUUACUCGGAAUUAUUGGGCGUAAAGAGCUUGUAGGCGGUCUGUCGCGUCUGCUGUGAAAAUCCGGGGCUCAACCCCGGACUUGCAGUGGGUACGGGCAGACUAGAGUGUGGUAGGGGAGACUGGAAUUCCUGGUGUAGCGGUGAAAUGCGCAGAUAUCAGGAGGAACACCGAUGGCGAAGGCAGGUCUCUGGGCCACUACUGACGCUGAGAAGCGAAAGCAUGGGGAGCGAACAGG
Molecule: ribosomal RNA, 253 nt
Filed under: uncultured bacterium
Lineage: Bacteria
Description: partial 16S ribosomal RNA
Rfam family: Bacterial small subunit ribosomal RNA
Source: RNAcentral